RNAcentral lists this ribosomal RNA (445 nucleotides) under uncultured bacterium. Its description in RNAcentral is "partial 16S ribosomal RNA". It matches the Rfam family "Bacterial small subunit ribosomal RNA", at positions 354 to 796 of the family's 1533-position model. The record is from RNAcentral.
GUAGGGAAUAUUGGUCAAUGGACGAAAGUCUGAACCAGCCAUUCCGCGUGCAGGAAGAAGAUUCUAUGGAUUGUAAACUGCUUUUAGCAGAGAAGAAACGCCUUCAUUGAUGAGGGUUUGACGGUAUCUGCGGAAUAAGCACCGGCUAACUCCGUGCCAGCAGCCGCGGUAAUACGGGGGGUGCAAGCGUUAUCCGGAAUCACUGGGUUUAAAGGGUGCGUAGGCGGGAAAUUAAGUCAGUGGUGAAAGUCUGUUGCUUAACGAUAGAAUUGCCGUUGAUACUGAUUUUCUUGAAUUGGGUUAAGGUUAGCGGAAUGUGACAUGUAGCGGUGAAAUGCAUAGAUAUGUCAUGGAACACCAAUUGCGAAGGCAGCUAGCUGGGCCUUGAUUGACGCUGAGGCACGAAAGCGUGGGUAGCGAACAGGAUUAGAAACCCGGGUAGUCC